Molecule: RNA transcript, 2669 nt
Organism: Cucurbita maxima (winter squash)
Lineage: Eukaryota; Viridiplantae; Streptophyta; Magnoliopsida; Cucurbitales; Cucurbitaceae
Gene name: exocyst complex component EXO70B1-like
Exons: 3
Source: RefSeq, a predicted model, not a curated record
CCUUCGUCUUUCGUUUCUCCAUCCCUUGUCUGAAACCUAUUUUUAUUUGGUUCUUGGAAGUGUCUUCCUUCUUCCUUAUUUUGGUGUUUGAAUCUUGUCUGGACGAACCCUAUAUAGAGAGAGGGAGAGAGAUUAGUUAACGGAAGCUGUAAAGAAUGGCGACGACGACCACAAGUAUUGGCGGCGGCGGCGGCGGUGGUGGGGAGGAUAGAGUUAUGGCUACCGCUCAGCAGAUUGUUAAGAGCCUCAAUACACCCAAGGAGGUUCAAGAAGACAUGCUUUUGAUCUUCUCUAGUUUUGACAAUCGUCUUUCUAAUAUCUCCAGUUUGGUCAACAGUGGAGAUUCGAAGAGGGAAGGGGAUCGAUAUGAAGCUGCUGAGAAGCUGAUUCUUCGUUGGGAUUCUGGUCCUGGAGCUUCUCGGAACUCCCUUAAUUGGGAGGAUUCGCCGGAGGAGGCGGCUGAGUACUUAUCGGCGGUGGAUGAUAUCAUUCAGUGGAUCGAUGACUUGUCAAUUCGUUCGGAUUCUGCUGAGAUCGUCGACCGUGCUGAGAACGCGAUCCAGAUCGCUAUGUCGAGGCUUGAGGAUGAGUUUCGUCAUAUGUUGAUUCGGAACACUGUCCCUCUCGAUGCGGAGCAUCUCUACGGUUCAAUUCGGAAGGUUUCGCUCUCUUUUGCUUCACACGACAGCGAAAAUUCCGAUGAGUUUGAGUCGUUUGCCGAUGUUGACCGUGGUUCUGGAAUCUUCCAUGAGCGUGGUGUCAGUUUGGGCGAUGAUUUGCGAGUCGAUUUGAUCAAUCCUGACGCUGUCGUUGAUUUGAAAGAGAUUGCCGACCGGAUGAUUCGGUCUGGAUACGAAAAAGAGUGUCUCAACGUGUAUACUGGUGUCCGACGCGAUGCUCUUGAUGAAUGCUUGGUGGUUCUUGGAGUUGAGAAGCUAAGUAUUGAGGAUGUCCAGAAAAUUGAUUGGAAGAUCUUGGAUGAGAAGAUGAAGAAAUGGAUCCAAGCUGUUAAGGUCAGUGUCCGAGUCCUUUUGACGGGCGAGAAGCGACUGUGUGACUAUAUCUUCAGCGGGUCCGAUGACUCCGAGGAAGUCUGCUUCAAUGAGACUGCUAAAGGGUGCAUCAGGCAGUUACUGAAUUUUGCAGAGGCCAUUGCCAUGGGGGAAAGGUCAGUGGAGAAGCUAUUUCGUAUUCUAGAUAUGUAUGAAGCUCUGGAAUACGUUUUGCCGGACUUGCAGGCUAUGAUCACUGAUGAAUUUGUGAUUGAGGAGGCGCAAGGAGUGCUUUCUAGGCUGGGAGAGGCCGCUAAAGGUACAUUUGUUGAGUUUGAGAAUGCUGUUCGGAAUGAGACUUCUAAGAAAACAAUGUUAAAUGCUGAGAUUCACCCGCUCACUCGUUAUGUCAUGAAUUACUUAACAUUGGUUGUGGUUUAUAGUAAGACUCUUGAUGCACUUUUAGAAGGCGACGACGAAGAUUUGCAGCACCUAGGGGGCGAUGGUGCUGAAAAUUCGGAGUUGGAAACUAUGUCACCAUUGCCUCGUCGGCUGUAUUCAUUGUUAUCAUCACUGGAGACCAAUCUAGAAAGAAAAUCCAAACUCUAUGGCGAUGAUUCGAUUCAAUAUAUAUUUCUCAUGAACAAUAUACAAUACAUUGUGCAGAAAGCAAAAGAUUCUGAGCUUGGAAAGCUCUUGGGUGACCGCUGGGUUCGUAAGCGCCGAGGCCAGGUUCGCAUAUAUGCGACGAACUAUCUUAGGGCGUCUUGGGGUAAAUUAUUAACUUUCUUGAAGGAAGAAGGUACUGGUGGGAGCUCCAAUAGUGCCCUGAAACUAGCUACUUUGAAGGAAAAGUUCAAAAAUUUCAAUGCUGGCUUUGAGGAAAUCUAUAGAAUUCAGACAGGUUGGAAGGUUGCCGAUGCUCAACUACGAGAGGAGCUCCGAAUUUCAGUAUCGGCAAAAGCGCUACCUGCAUAUCGUGCCUUCUUGGGAAGGCAUGGAAGUCAGUUAGAGAAUACAAGACAUGCUGGGAGGUAUAUAAAGUACACAUCGGAUGACUUGGAGAACUAUUUAUUGGAUUUGUUUGAAGGAUCACCACAAGUUAUACACAACUUAAGAAGAAAAAGUAGUUCAUAGAGGGAUAUUGAACCGACUCUAUUUAUACAGGUGCAUCUAUGACUGACUCUGAGGUUUGUCCCAGAUCUGGCUAAUCUGCUUCACUUCUACUGGUAGUGGCAAGGAUAACGAGAUCUCCUGCCAGCUGUCUUCUCUUCCUAUCAUUGAACUUCGUUCGAGAGAUCUGAUCAAAUCGGAUCUCACUAGGGCGGGCGAAGGGGAAGGAAGGGAUGGGUGAUCCGGGAACAACAACAAUGGGAGAGGUCUCGUAACCCCCUAGUUCAUUUGUUUGGUUUAUACUUAAUUUAGUGCUUUAAAGUACUGAUAUUCUUGUGGGGACUGAAACUUUUGGUUGAUUAUACUAUUUCCUCUGUUGGUUAGCCAGCUUUUAGAGAAGUUUGGAUGGGGAACUGAUUGUUUCCAAGUUCUUGUUGGUGACAAUUUUAGUCUUGUAUGGCUUCUUUUGGUUGCUUCUAUAUUUCUCUCGCUGAGACUUGAGAGAAACAUCCUAUUCAGCAGCUUAUCUAAAUAGUGGGGGAUCAUAUCCUUCCUAUAUUCACG